RNAcentral lists this transfer RNA (74 nucleotides) under Thaumarchaeota archaeon 13_1_40CM_3_50_5. RNAcentral's name for it is "tRNA-Gln". The stretch from base 10 to 66 matches the Rfam family "tRNA", at positions 9 to 63 of the family's 71-position model. From Rfam's summary of the family: Transfer RNA (tRNA) molecules are approximately 80 nucleotides in length. The record is from RNAcentral. RNAcentral also lists the same sequence under 2 other names. Lineage: Archaea; Thermoproteati; Nitrososphaerota.
UUUCCGCUGAAUGUAGUGGCCAAGCAUAGGGGCCUUUGGAGCCCUUGACCCCAGUUCGAAUCUGGGCCGGGCUA